UCGGAUUCCACGCGCGCCCUCUCGCCGGGGUGUGAGCUGCCUGCGCGCGCCUGUGUGUGUGUGUGUGUGUGUGUGUGUAUGCGCGUGUGUGAGGCGCCUCGUGCGUGCGUCUCCUGCGGUGUCUGGGUGCCUGUGCAAAGCGACUGGCUCCACUCAAGGUAUCCUGGUCUGAUCCUGACUUCAUGUGCCUUCAUAUUACACUGUGGAUCUUCUGUCAAUCUAUAUGGCUAAUGAAACAUUUCAGAAGAAAGGGCCACCAUCCUCAGAUAACCGGGCUCUGAGAAUUAUGACAGCAGAAUGAGAUCCUUGUAGCAGCCUUCAUUAUUUAAAGUUAUUUUUCACAAGUAGCAACUAAAGAUUA
Molecule: long non-coding RNA, 361 nt
Organism: Podarcis raffonei (Aeolian wall lizard)
Lineage: Eukaryota; Metazoa; Chordata; Lepidosauria; Squamata; Lacertidae
Exons: 2
Source: RefSeq, a predicted model, not a curated record